Long non-coding RNA from Lynx canadensis (Canada lynx), 75 nucleotides. RefSeq lists it as uncharacterized. NCBI's taxonomy places the organism in Eukaryota, Metazoa, Chordata, Mammalia, Carnivora, Felidae. The record is from RefSeq and is a predicted model, not a curated record. The transcript is spliced from 3 exons.
AACAAUAGGUAACCCUAUUAUUGUUGGGGUACUGAGAGAGGCAAAUAGAUUUUCAUUCUUAUUCAAAUCAUCAUA